RNAcentral lists this ribosomal RNA (439 nucleotides) under uncultured bacterium. RNAcentral describes it as "partial 16S ribosomal RNA". It matches the Rfam family "Bacterial small subunit ribosomal RNA", at positions 339 to 795 of the family's 1533-position model. The record is from RNAcentral.
CUACGGGGGGCAGCAGUGGGGAAUCUUAGACAAUGGGGGCAACCCUGAUCUAGCCAUGCCGCGUGAGUGAUGAAGGCCCUAGGGUUGUAAAGCUCUUUCAGCUGGGAAGAUAAUGACGGUACCAGCAGAAGAAGCCCCGGCUAACUCCGUGCCAGCAGCCGCGGUAAUACGGAGGGGGCUAGCGUUGUUCGGAAUUACUGGGCGUAAAGCGCACGUAGGCGGACCAGAAAGUUGGGGGUGAAAUCCCGGGGCUCAACCUCGGAACUGCCUUCAAAACUAUUGGUCUGGAGUUCGAGAGAGGUGAGUGGAAUUCCGGGUGUAGAGGUGAAAUUCGUAGAUAUUCGGAGGAACACCAGUGGCGAAGGCGGCUCACUGGCUCGAUACUGACGCUGAGGUGCGAAAGCGUGGGGAGCAAACAGGAUUAGAUACCCCAGUAGUC